CCUACGGGAGGCAGCAGUAAGGAAUAUUGGUCAAUGGAGGCAACUCUGAACCAGCCAUGCCGCGUGCAGGAAGACUGCCCUAUGGGUUGUAAACUGCUUUUAUACGGGAAUAAACCUUGAUUCGUGAAUCGAGCUGAAUGUACCGUAAGAAUAAGGAUCGGCUAACUCCGUGCCAGCAGCCGCGGUAAUACGGAGGAUCCAAGCGUUAUCCGGAUUUAUUGGGUUUAAAGGGAGCGUAGGCGGCCUAUUAAGUCAGGGGUGAAAGACGGUGGCUCAACCAUCGCAGUGCCUUUGAUACUGGUAGGCUUGAAUGUAGUUGAGGUAGGCGGAAUGUGACAAGUAGCGGUGAAAUGCAUAGAUAUGUCACAGAACACCGAUUGCGAAGGCAGCUUACUAAGCUAUGAUUGACGCUGAGGCUCGAAAGCGUGGGGAUCAAACAGGAUUAGAUACCCUGGUAGUCCACGACCUAACCGAUAGAUAACUACGUAUGUUGGUCGGAUAUACAGUCGAGCGUCCGACGACGAAGACGUUAAGUUAUUACCUACCGUCGGGAGGUACGCCCGCCGACGGUAGGAACGUACGAAAGUAGAAGUUAGUACGGCGUGAGACGUUACGCCGACGGACGACGACGAGGGGAGGUAGGG
Molecule: ribosomal RNA, 644 nt
Filed under: uncultured bacterium
Lineage: Bacteria
Description: bacterial SSU rRNA
Rfam family: Bacterial small subunit ribosomal RNA (bases 1-542)
Source: RNAcentral